UUUAAAAACAUUUCCUGAUUGAUUAAUUAGUAAAAUUCUCCGUUUCGAUUAAUCGAUCAAAUAUAGAAAUUAAUAGCAAAUAAAAAUCAGAUCUUGAAUUUCAUUAAGCACGAUAUAAAAAAUAAUCGAAUCAAAGAGAGUAAUGUGAUUCCAACUUCAUUACUUUGCGAAAACAAAAAUGAUGAUUAUUUAGUAGGUUAUAAUAAAAUCUCAGAGACACAGGACAAUUAAAAUAUUGUUACCACGCUAAAACUAUGCUGUGAUAAAUUAAAAGAUCAUUUAAACACGGCGGUUUCAGCUUACAAAUUAAAUAACUUUUUAAUGUCGCUCGAACUUAGGGCCUUUAUAAGAAUGUGGAAUGAAACAAAC
Long non-coding RNA from Monomorium pharaonis (pharaoh ant), 369 nucleotides. RefSeq lists it as uncharacterized. Lineage: Eukaryota; Metazoa; Arthropoda; Insecta; Hymenoptera; Formicidae. The record is from RefSeq and is a predicted model, not a curated record. The transcript is spliced from 3 exons.